UAGUCAUAUGCUUGUCUCAAAGAUUAAGCCAUGCAUGUCUAAGUAUAAGCAAUCUAUACGGUGAAACUGCGAAUGGCUCAUUAAAUCAGUUAUCGUUUAUUUGAUAGUACCUUACUACUUGGAUAACCGUGGUAAUUCUAGAGCUAAUACAUGCUAAAAACCCCGACUUCGGAAGGGGUGUAUUUAUUAGAUAAAAAACCAAUGCCCUACGGGGCUCCUUGGUGAUUCAUAAUAACUUAACGAAUCGCAUGGCCUUGUGCCGGCGAUGGUUCAUUCAAAUUUCUGCCCUAUCAACUUUCGAUUGUAAGGUAGUGGCUUACAAUGGUUUCAACGGGUAACGGGGAAUUAGGGUUCUAUUCCGGAGAGGGAGCCUGAGAAACGGCUACCACAUCCAAGGAAGGCAGCAGGCGCGCAAAUUACCCAAUCCCGACACGGGGAGGUAGUGACAAUAAAUACUGAUACAGGGCUCUUUUGGGUCUUGUAAUUGGAAUGAGUACAAUUUAAAUCCCUUAA
Molecule: ribosomal RNA, 513 nt
Filed under: uncultured eukaryote
Lineage: Eukaryota
Description: SSU rRNA
Rfam family: Eukaryotic small subunit ribosomal RNA
Source: RNAcentral